CAGUCGCCACGGUAAUACGUAGGGUGCAAGCGUUAAUCGGAAUUACUGGGCGUAAAGCGUGCGCAGGCGGUUAUAUAAGACAGAUGUGAAAUCCCCGGGCUCAACCUGGGAACUGCAUUUGUGACUGUAUAGCUAGAGUACGGCAGAGGGGGAUGGAAUUCCGCGUGUAGCAGUGAAAUGCGUAGAUAUGCGGAGGAACACCGAUGGCGAAGGCAAUCCCCUGGGCAUGUACUGACGCUCAUGCACGAAAGCGUGGGGAGCAAACAGGAUUAGAUACCCCCGUAGUCCCUGUCUCUUAUAC
This 301-nucleotide ribosomal RNA is filed under the name uncultured bacterium. Its description in RNAcentral is "partial 16S ribosomal RNA". It matches the Rfam family "Bacterial small subunit ribosomal RNA", at positions 509 to 807 of the family's 1533-position model. The record is from RNAcentral.